UAGAAAGAUUGGGAAAUUAUAUCAAACAAUUUAUUUAUUAAAUUUAGAAUGAUACCUAACUCUGUAAGUGGGCCGUGUACAACAGAAAGUUUAAUGACAAUAUUUGAUCUGUUUCAACUAGAUUUGUAAGUUAAAAAUAAAAGUAAAAGCCAAGAUGAGAAAUUAGCAGAGAACUUUGAUCUCCUGGUACUUUUAGAGCUUCUAAGCCAUUCCUUCUUGUUUCCUAGUCUGUAAUGACAAUUCAGAAAUCAAUAUUACAUUGUAUACUUUCAAGUCCUGUCAGAAAGCAAUUUGUUUCACUGGAGUUCUCCAAC
This is a long non-coding RNA of Thamnophis elegans (Western terrestrial garter snake), 314 nucleotides long. RefSeq lists it as uncharacterized. Lineage: Eukaryota; Metazoa; Chordata; Lepidosauria; Squamata; Natricidae. The transcript has 2 exons. The record is from RefSeq and is a predicted model, not a curated record.